AUGGAGAACGGCAGCAGCAAAGGCGACGUCCCGGAGGACGCCAACGCUCACUUGGUUGCUAUUGCUGAGCGGAUGGCUACUGUGAAACACAAGAUACUGGUUUUGUCAGGAAAGGGAGGUGUUGGAAAGAGCACAUUUUCAGCCCAGCUCUCAUUUGCCCUAGCUGAAAUGGACCAUCAGGUUGGCCUUCUCGACAUAGACAUAUGUGGCCCUAGCAUCCCGAAAAUGUUAGGCGUUGAAGGCCAGGAUAUUCAUCAGAGCAACCUUGGGUGGUCACCGAUCUACGUUGAGUCCAACCUUGGUGUCAUGUCGAUUGGUUUUAUGCUGCCUAACCCAGAUGAUGCGGUCAUAUGGAGGGGUCCUCGCAAGAACAGAUUGAUCAAACAGUUCCUCAAGGAUGUUGACUGGGGUGAGAUUGACUACCUUGUAGUGGAUGCACCCCCUGGAACAUCAGACGAGCACAUCUCAAUCGUCCAGUACCUACAAGCCACCGAAGUUGAUGGCGCGAUAAUCGUGACGACCCCGCAGCAAGUCUCUCUAAUUGACGUGAGGAAGGAAAUCAAUUUCUGCAAGAAGGUGGGUGUGCCGGUGCUGGGCGUUGUGGAGAACAUGAGUGGCCUGAGGCAGGCGUUCACAGACCUCAAGUUCGUAAAGCCAGGUCCCGCAGGGGAGACGGAUGCCACGGAGUGGGCGAUGAACUACAUCAAGGAGAAGGCUCCGGAGCUUUUGUCGGUCGUGGCCUGCAGCGAGGUGUUUGACAGCAGCAAGGGUGGCGCAGAGAAGAUGUGCCAUGAGAUGGGGGUCCCUUUCCUCGGCAAGGUGCCGAUGGACCCGCAGCUGUGCAAGGCAGCUGAGGAAGGGAGGUCGUGCUUCGCCGAUCAGAGGUGCAGCGCCAGUGCGCCGGCUCUGAAAAGCAUCAUCGACAAGCUGAUCAAAACCAAGUAA
Molecule: ribosomal RNA, 945 nt
Filed under: Triticum aestivum (bread wheat)
Lineage: Eukaryota; Viridiplantae; Streptophyta; Magnoliopsida; Poales; Poaceae
Description: partial small subunit ribosomal RNA
Source: RNAcentral